RNAcentral lists this ribosomal RNA (465 nucleotides) under uncultured bacterium. Its description in RNAcentral is "bacterial SSU rRNA". It matches the Rfam family "Bacterial small subunit ribosomal RNA", at positions 338 to 795 of the family's 1533-position model. The record is from RNAcentral.
CCUACGGGAGGCAGCAGUGGGGAAUUUUGGACAAUGGGCGAAAGCCUGAUCCAGCAAUGCCGCGUGCAGGACGAAGGCCUUCGGGUUGUAAACUGCUUUUGUACGGAACGAAACGGUCUCUUUUAAUACAGGGGGCUAAUGACGGUACCGUAAGAAUAAGCACCGGCUAACUACGUGCCAGCAGCCGCGGUAAUACGUAGGGUGCGAGCGUUAAUCGGAAUUACUGGGCGUAAAGCGUGCGCAGGCGGUUAUAUAAGACAGAUGUGAAAUCCCCGGGCUCAACCUGGGACCUGCAUUUGUGACUGUAUAGCUAGAGUACGGUAGAGGGGGAUGGAAUUCCGCGUGUAGCAGUGAAAUGCGUAGAUAUGCGGAGGAACACCGAUGGCGAAGGCAAUCCCCUGGACCUGUACUGACGCUCAUGCACGAAAGCGUGGGGAGCAAACAGGAUUAGAUACCCCGGUAGUC